Molecule: unclassified non-coding RNA, 2686 nt
Filed under: Hevea brasiliensis (rubber tree)
Lineage: Eukaryota; Viridiplantae; Streptophyta; Magnoliopsida; Malpighiales; Euphorbiaceae
Source: RNAcentral
AAAAUAAACUGAAUCUCUGGGUUAUAUUGAAAUUAUCAAAAAAAGGAAAAUCUCCAUUAAAUAUGAAAACUACAAAGUUGGUUUAUCGAAAAAGGUUGCCAAUCCCACCCUAAUAAUGAAGAGACAAAUCUGUGGUCCGUGAUACGUGUUGUAAGUUAACAAGCUAGCCCUACAAAACUUAUCCCACUUGCUCACUUUCCAUUUGAUUCCAAUUUUAUCUUCUUUUUCUUUUGUAAAAGGUUUGUCGAGUCGUUUAAUCUUUGGCCUUUGCCAUAUCGAUAGGACCCUGUCCUUUUCUCCAUUUAGAUUCUGCUUCCACUUCUUCGCCCACGGCUUUCCCUCAUUCAGUUUUAAUCAUUUGCUGCUGCUGCCGCCGCACACUUGCAACUUGAUUCAUCGUGAAUUUAAGGUAUGUAAAUAAAUUUUUUUAUCACAAUUAAUUUGCAGACCAGUCUUCUUCUAACCAAUCAAAAUUUGACACACGACCAACGCUCUACUUCUGUUCCACUUCUUAUCUGCUCGCCACGUGGGAAAUUUUUUUCCGCUCGUUUUAUGACGUCAGCACUCACGAUUCCACUUUUCUUCCCGCCCACGGCAACGCCUCUUUCGCUUCUCAUUCAAUUCCUUCCCUUUUAUAUCCUGUGCUGCUUCACUCUUUUUCUUGCUACAAAAGAUCAGAUCCCACCCCUGGACUCUUCGGUAGCGUUGAAAAAAUGAGAGUGAACAGGCUUAAUCUCAGCCGCCUGAUCAUCAUGUGGUUCUAUGUUGUUCUUCUUUCGCUUGUGUUCUCCGCGAGAGCACAGCCCACCACUGGAAAACAGGAGAACCAGUAUAAAUUGUACUCAAAUUUCGAUCCAACGAUGGCCACAGUGAUCGUCGUGCUCAUUUGUGCUUUCUUCUUCAUUGGAAUUUUCUCCGUCUUCAUCCGUCAGUGUUCUGAGAACGCAAUUGUUGGUAACCUCCCCAACACUAUUGCCUCUGGGAAUAGAUCGCGGGGGGUUGGCCUCGAUCCUGCCGUGAUCGAGAAGUUCCCGGUCUUCGUCUACUCUGAGGUGAAAGAUAUUAAAAUUGGCAGAGAAACGCUAGAAUGCGUAGUUUGCUUGAGUGAAUUUGAAGAUGAUGAAACGCUGCGUUUGUUACCCAAAUGUAAUCACGUUUUCCAUCCUGAAUGCAUUGAUGAGUGGUUGGCUUCUCAUGUCACUUGCCCGGUUUGCCGAGCCAAGCUCACACCGGAAUCUGUCGAAAUUCCGAAGAGCACACCACAACAAACAACAACAACAGACUCGAAUCAACACAACUCUGUACCUUCUGUCGCUGAAGAAGUCGCAAUUACCGUGAAUGAAGAGCAAAACAGUGACUCACAGCCACAGGCUACUAAUAUCGCGAACACGAUUCAGGCGAAGAAUCGGCCACCGAGAUUGGGUAUUUCCGAAAAGUUUCCAAGAUCGCAUUCGACGGGGCAUUCACUAGUUCAAGCAGGAGAUAAUAUUGAAAGGUAUACACUGAGAUUUCCGGAGGAGGUGAGGAAGCAGAUGAUGGCGAGCGCGAAACUGAAACGUGCAGUGAGUUUCAAUGUGAUUUUGGCAACGGAAGGGAGCUCGAGGAAAGGGUAUAGAAGCAGCGGAGAAGGUAGUAGUAGAGGAAAGCAAAUUGGCCGGUGGGCAUUCUUGAUUGCGGGAGGCAAUUCCUUAAAAUCGAGUAAGAUUGAAAACGACGGAGAUUCGGUUAACGGUAGGAACAUCUUGGCAUCCGUUAAGAAUCCGUUAAAUUGCCUAAACAUGAAGGUUGAGGGAGUCGAAGAAACGUCCACUCCGACCCGGCCUCUCGUUUGAUUUGUGCAAUAAUAAGCUUAAGGGCCAUUUUUGUGCAUAGUCAAGCUGGUGCGGCACUUGCUGCAAAGAGAAUUUGUGGCCUUGCAACUUCGAAUCAAUUCAAAGUUGGCCAUUAGCUCCAGAUUCAUGUGAAAAGUGAGAACAUGGGAAUUCAUUUAAAGCAGUCAAAAGAAGAAAUCGAAUUUUGGGCAAUAUGAGUUGGCUCUUGUAUUGCCUGGAUAAAAAAUACAUGGAGGAAAGCGAGUCAGAAUAUGGGGAGUUCUCAGAAUGAAUUCCAGGUAUCCAACAAAGAAAAAAAGUUGUCUUAUUGUGUAUUGUUCUUUAUUUAUACUAGUUAAUAUGUGUGGGAUUUGCGAGAGAAGUACACAAUUUUUUAAUAUAUUGAAUUUAUAAUUUGCCCAAAUUAGAUUUAGCUGUUCUAAGGAAGAUUGCUCAAAUAGGAUUUUGCUUUCAUAAUAAGCGAUGGUGUGGGGACGGUGGAUGGAAAAAAUAGAAAGGCGCAGGUUGAGUAUUCAAAGGCUGCUACUCAUAGAAUGGAGUGGAGCCCAUUAUCAUCACCCUCAGGUCCCAAGCUUCUUGAUCCACAACCUAAGACCAAUUGUCCGAUUCAUAUAGAAAUAGACGUCAUUCUUAUCUUCUACAUAAAGCAAAAUUAUCGCAGCUGCCCAAUCGCUUUCAUCAUCAUCACGAGUUCCCCCAUGCUGAGAGUCCGGCAAUUCUUAUUAUUCCAGUACUAAUUAGUUGUUUUAAUACCCGUUGCCAAACAAGCCUUGCCCCAAAACUUUUUUUUUUAUUCCAUUACGUUGUGUUUUUAAAUUUUCAUUUAUUUUAAUUGAAUGCUUGAAUUUUUAUUA